RNAcentral lists this ribosomal RNA (1530 nucleotides) under Klebsiella pneumoniae UHKPC69. RNAcentral describes it as "bacterial SSU rRNA". It matches the Rfam family "Bacterial small subunit ribosomal RNA". The record is from RNAcentral. Lineage: Bacteria; Pseudomonadati; Pseudomonadota; Gammaproteobacteria; Enterobacterales; Enterobacteriaceae.
AGAGUUUGAUCAUGGCUCAGAUUGAACGCUGGCGGCAGGCCUAACACAUGCAAGUCGAGCGGUAGCACAGAGAGCUUGCUCUCGGGUGACGAGCGGCGGACGGGUGAGUAAUGUCUGGGAAACUGCCUGAUGGAGGGGGAUAACUACUGGAAACGGUAGCUAAUACCGCAUAACGUCGCAAGACCAAAGUGGGGGACCUUCGGGCCUCAUGCCAUCAGAUGUGCCCAGAUGGGAUUAGCUAGUAGGUGGGGUAACGGCUCACCUAGGCGACGAUCCCUAGCUGGUCUGAGAGGAUGACCAGCCACACUGGAACUGAGACACGGUCCAGACUCCUACGGGAGGCAGCAGUGGGGAAUAUUGCACAAUGGGCGCAAGCCUGAUGCAGCCAUGCCGCGUGUGUGAAGAAGGCCUUCGGGUUGUAAAGCACUUUCAGCGGGGAGGAAGGCGUUAAGGUUAAUAACCUCCGAUUGACGUUACCCGCAGAAGAAGCACCGGCUAACUCCGUGCCAGCAGCCGCGGUAAUACGGAGGGUGCAAGCGUUAAUCGGAAUUACUGGGCGUAAAGCGCACGCAGGCGGUCUGUCAAGUCGGAUGUGAAAUCCCCGGGCUCAACCUGGGAACUGCAUUCGAAACUGGCAGGCUAGAGUCUUGUAGAGGGGGGUAGAAUUCCAGGUGUAGCGGUGAAAUGCGUAGAGAUCUGGAGGAAUACCGGUGGCGAAGGCGGCCCCCUGGACAAAGACUGACGCUCAGGUGCGAAAGCGUGGGGAGCAAACAGGAUUAGAUACCCUGGUAGUCCACGCCGUAAACGAUGUCGAUUUGGAGGUUGUGCCCUUGAGGCGUGGCUUCCGGAGCUAACGCGUUAAAUCGACCGCCUGGGGAGUACGGCCGCAAGGUUAAAACUCAAAUGAAUUGACGGGGGCCCGCACAAGCGGUGGAGCAUGUGGUUUAAUUCGAUGCAACGCGAAGAACCUUACCUGGUCUUGACAUCCACAGAACUUUCCAGAGAUGGAUUGGUGCCUUCGGGAACUGUGAGACAGGUGCUGCAUGGCUGUCGUCAGCUCGUGUUGUGAAAUGUUGGGUUAAGUCCCGCAACGAGCGCAACCCUUAUCCUUUGUUGCCAGCGGUCCGGCCGGGAACUCAAAGGAGACUGCCAGUGAUAAACUGGAGGAAGGUGGGGAUGACGUCAAGUCAUCAUGGCCCUUACGACCAGGGCUACACACGUGCUACAAUGGCAUAUACAAAGAGAAGCGACCUCGCGAGAGCAAGCGGACCUCAUAAAGUAUGUCGUAGUCCGGAUUGGAGUCUGCAACUCGACUCCAUGAAGUCGGAAUCGCUAGUAAUCGUAGAUCAGAAUGCUACGGUGAAUACGUUCCCGGGCCUUGUACACACCGCCCGUCACACCAUGGGAGUGGGUUGCAAAAGAAGUAGGUAGCUUAACCUUCGGGAGGGCGCUUACCACUUUGUGAUUCAUGACUGGGGUGAAGUCGUAACAAGGUAACCGUAGGGGAACCUGCGGUUGGAUCACCUCCUU